Molecule: non-coding RNA, 176 nt
Organism: Nelumbo nucifera (sacred lotus)
Lineage: Eukaryota; Viridiplantae; Streptophyta; Magnoliopsida; Proteales; Nelumbonaceae
Source: RefSeq, a predicted model, not a curated record
GAAGAUGUUCUCCGGAUUCACAACUGCCUGCCUCUUCGCAAUCUGCCCUACAAGUCGGUCUCCGUUCUUCAUGUAUGCAACGACCGAAGGCGUCGUUCUCUGACCCUCAGCAUUAGUAGCAAUUGUCGGCUUCCCACCUUCCAUCGCUGCCACUACUGAAUUCGUCGUCCCAAGGA